GCCUAACACAUGCAAGUCGAACGGUAACAGGAAGAAGCUUGCUUCUUUGCUGACGAGUGGCGGACGGGUGAGUAAUGUCUGGGAAACUGCCUGAUGGAGGGGGAUAACUACUGGAAACGGUAGCUAAUACCGCAUAACGUCGCAAGACCAAAGAGGGGGACCUUCGGGCCUCUUGCCAUCGGAUGUGCCCAGAUGGGAUUAGCUAGUAGGUGGGGUAACGGCUCACCUAGGCGACGAUCCCUAGCUGGUCUGAGAGGAUGACCAGCCACACUGGAACUGAGACACGGUCCAGACUCCUACGGGAGGCAGCAGUGGGGAAUAUUGCACAAUGGGCGCAAGCCUGAUGCAGCCAUGCCGCGUGUAUGAAGAAGGCCUUCGGGUUGUAAAGUACUUUCAGCGGGGAGGAAGGGAGUAAAGUUAAUACCUUUGCUCAUUGACGUUACCCGCAGAAGAAGCACCGGCUAACUCCGUGCCAGCAGCCGCGGUAAUACGGAGGGUGCAAGCGUUAAUCGGAAUUACUGGGCGUAAAGCGCACGCAGGCGGUUUGUUAAGUCAGAUGUGAAAUCCCCGGGCUCAACCUGGGAACUGCAUCUGAUACUGGCAAGCUUGAGUCUCGUAGAGGGGGGUAGAAUUCCAGGUGUAGCGGUGAAAUGCGUAGAGAUCUGGAGGAAUACCGGUGGCGAAGGCGGCCCCCUGGACGAAGACUGACGCUCAGGUGCGAAAGCGUGGGGGAGCAAACAGGAUUAGAUACCCUGGUAGUCCACGCCGUAAACGAUGUCGACUUGGAGGUUGUGCCCUUGAGGCGUGGCUUCCGGAGCUAACGCGUUAAGUCGACCGCCUGGGGAGUACGGCCGCAAGGUUAAAACUCAAAUGAAUUGACGGGGGCCCGCACAAGCGGUGGAGCAUGUGGUUUAAUUCGAUGCAACGCGAAGAACCUUACCUGGUCUUGACAUCCACGGAAGUUUUCAGAGAUGAGAAUGUGCCUUCGGGAACCGUGAGACAGGUGCUGCAUGGCUGUCGUCAGCUCGUGUUGUGAAAUGUUGGGUUAAGUCCCGCAACGAGCGCAACCCUUAUCCUUUGUUGCCAGCGGUCCGGCCGGGAACUCAAAGGAGACUGCCAGUGAUAAACUGGAGGAAGGUGGGGAUGACGUCAAGUCAUCAUGGCCCUUACGACCAGGGCUACACACGUGCUACAAUGGCGCAUACAAAGAGAAGCGACCUCGCGAGAGCAAGCGGACCUCAUAAAGUGCGUCGUAGUCCGGAUUGGAGUCUGCAACUCGACUCCAUGAAGUCGGAAUCGCUAGUAACCGUGGAUCAGAAUGCCACGGUGAAUACGUUCCCGGGCCUUGUACACACCGCCCGUCACACCAUGGGAGUGGGUUGCAAAAGAAGUAGGUAGCUUAACCUUCGGGAGGGCGCUUACCACUUUGUGAUUCAUGACUGGGGUGAAGUCAUAA
RNAcentral lists this ribosomal RNA (1456 nucleotides) under uncultured organism. RNAcentral describes it as "SSU rRNA". It matches the Rfam family "Bacterial small subunit ribosomal RNA". The record is from RNAcentral.